This 441-nucleotide ribosomal RNA is filed under the name uncultured Anaerolineaceae bacterium. RNAcentral's name for it is "bacterial SSU rRNA". It matches the Rfam family "Bacterial small subunit ribosomal RNA", at positions 338 to 795 of the family's 1533-position model. Lineage: Bacteria; Bacillati; Chloroflexota; Anaerolineae; Anaerolineales; Anaerolineaceae. The record is from RNAcentral.
CCUACGGGGGGCUGCAGUAGGGAAUAUUGGUUAAUGGACGAAAGUCUGAACCAGCAACGCCGCGUGUGCGAUGAAGGCCUUCGGGUCGUAAAGCACUUUUUGGAGGGACGAGGAAGGACGGUACCUCCAGAAUAAGCCUCGGCUAACUACGUGCCAGCAGCCGCGGUAACACGUAGGAGGCAAGCGUUAUCCGGAUUUACUGGGCGUAAAGCGCGUGUAGGCGGCUCGGAUAGUUGGAUGUGAAAGCUCCUGGCUUAACUGGGAGAGGUCGUUCAAUACUUCCGGGCUCGAGAGUGGUAGAGGGAGGUGGAAUUCCGAGUGUAGUGGUGAAAUGCGUAGAUAUUCGGAGGAACACCAGUGGCGAAAGCGGCCUCCUGGACCAUUUCUGACGCUCAGACGCGAAAGCUAGGGUAGCAAACGGGCUUAGAUACCCCUGUAGUC